RNAcentral lists this ribosomal RNA (775 nucleotides) under uncultured Neocallimastigales. RNAcentral describes it as "partial large subunit ribosomal RNA". It matches the Rfam family "Eukaryotic large subunit ribosomal RNA", at positions 24 to 645 of the family's 3401-position model. Lineage: Eukaryota; Fungi; Neocallimastigomycota; Neocallimastigomycetes; Neocallimastigales. The record is from RNAcentral.
UAUGUGAUCGUCUCUCGCAUAUCAAUAAGCGGAGGAAAAGGAAACUAACAAGGAUUCCCCUAGUAACGGCGAGUGAAGCGGGAAGAGCUCAAAUUUGAAAUCUUAAAGGGUUUCCCUUUACGAAUUGUAGUUUAAAGAAGUGUUUUCUGUUGAGGUUUUGGUAAAAGUUCUUUGGAAUAGGACAUCAUAGAGGGUGAGAAUCCCGUAUUUGACCUUUACUUUCAACUUUGUGAUACACUUUCAAAGAGUCGGAUUGUUUGGGAAUGCAGUCCAAAAUGGGUGGUAAAUUUCAUCUAAAGCUAAAUAUUGGCGAGAGACCGAUAGCGAACAAGUACCGUGAGGGAAAGAUGAAAAGAACUUUGAAAAGAGAGUUAAACAGUACGUGAAAUUGUCAAAAGGGAAGCGUUUGACACCAGUGUUGUUUUUCUGAAAAUCAAUUAAAGAACUGUUUAUGCUAAGUUGUUUAGACUUUAUCAGCUAUCUGUUUAGUUUUGAGCUUUUCUUUAAUGCACUUUUCAGUUAACAAGUCAACAUCAAUUUCUUUUGCUGUAAAAAGGCUUGAGGAAGGUGGCUUGAGAUUCGUCUUAAGUGUUUAUAGCCUCUUGCCUAUGCAGUCGGAGAGAUUGAGGUCUGCAGUGUAGAUCCUUCGGGGCUAAAUGCAUUUGUGCUAAGUUAUAGCAUUUUAUAGACAACUUGUUGACUAUGAUUUGUCUUGUAGCUUACUCGCUUAUGUUAUUUUACCUACGCUUAGGAUGUUGAAGUCAUCGUAUCGCGC